Long non-coding RNA from Lingula anatina, 767 nucleotides. The record is from RefSeq and is a predicted model, not a curated record. Lineage: Eukaryota; Metazoa; Brachiopoda; Lingulata; Lingulida; Lingulidae.
CUUACAUUCUUUUCUUUUACAGUGAUUAUCGUUUCUUACAAAGAGCCAACAGUGAAGCCACGGCAAAGUAUGUCAUUAACAGUGUAUCUGCUGAUGACUAUGGUUAUUACACAUGCAGUGUUUCAAAUAAUAAAGGUAGCUCUUCCUUGACCAUCAAAUUAGAAGAGACAAAUACAGCGCAACCUGAUCAGAUAGCAGGGGCUGUGAGUGGAGCCACAACACUCAGUGGUUUUGUAUCAGUGCUUUUGCUGCUAUUAUUCUGGAGCCUUUCAUAAAAAUGAAGAUGAUGUGAUGUGAGAAGCAUCUUUAGAUGUUUUUUUAUAUAUAUAAAAGACCAAAUUUUCAAGCAUCACAAGAGUGAGGACUGUAGUGAAUGUGAGAUAAAAGGACUGUUAUUUACUUUUUUUUUUACAUGUAGGGACAGCAUACAGGAACUGGCAAAAAUUAGAUAAAUAAUUAAAAGAGAAAGGGAAGGAUAAAGAUGUCCACUUUUCAGUUAUCCCCACUAAUUUUCUAGUGCUAACCAGUCGUCUCUGCAUGACUUUGCCAACUAAAAGUUUGAAACUAUUUUUUAUAAGCAUAAAUUUGAGAUAAGCUCAACGGUUGUAUACUUUCAUAACAUUUUCAGUUUGAGUGAAGAUUGAAUAUUUUAGCUGGGUAAGCAGUUGUCUUAAGAUCCUGGUGUAUUCUAUAUUAGCAAAACUUUACAAAACUAGACAGUCCCUUCCUCCUCCACGCUGUGCUUGACAUAGCCAAUGAACUCAUUA